This is a non-coding RNA of Paramuricea clavata, 866 nucleotides long. Lineage: Eukaryota; Metazoa; Cnidaria; Anthozoa; Malacalcyonacea; Plexauridae. The record is from the annotation of a GenBank genome assembly.
AAAAACUAUUUUGGCUUCAUCAAAUCAUAGGCCUUCAUCAUAGCAGUUAGCCUUCCAGUUUAUUUAUAGUUCAAUGGACGUGAGCGAGUUAAAAUUUUCGUGGACGUCAAACAAUAAGGAAACGACUAGAGCAAAGCUAGAGUUACGCUUCUGGUAUAACUUCCUAUUCUGUGCCAAUAGUGAUGGUGGCGAUUACCGACUACUUGUUAGUGAUGGGCGAUUACCGAUUACUUGGUAUCGAUACCACCCGAUACCAGGCCCAAACAGGAAGUAGUCGAUACUGCACGGUAUCGAAAAAGCGUUUCGAUUACUUUUAAAAUUAGACAUUCAUUAUAAUCCUGUAGUUGUGUCAUCGUUUUCAUGGUUAUUUCUAACAAAAUUUAUGUACUUUUUUGUAUUUUGCUGCAUUUAUCAGUUUAAUCAAACUUCCUUUAUACUUUAUUUGACAUUCUAUCCUCGCCGACAGAAUAAAUUAUGAAAAAGGCGGGAAAUAAAGUAAUUUUUGUUUUUUAUGGAUUAAAAUGGCGGAUCAAAUCGUUACUGUUAAAAAUACGUAACUUUCUGAAAAUAUAUUGUUACUGUUACAGUAGAAGGCUACUUCUUUAACAGUCGGCUCUUUAUUAAGUGAUUUACAUUAAUUAUUUUGAAAAUUGGAGGACGUAAUCGUUUGGGUAUAAAUCGAUACCUCGAUACUUUAACCAAAAAGUAAUCGGUAUCGUAUCGAAACCGAUACUGGUGGUAUCGCCCAUCACUACUACUUGUCGUAUAUUUAUAAGUAAUAGCAUAAAAAGAAGCGAAUUAGCUAUUAAAACGUCCCGCCCGAUGAGGGUCGUUUAGUAUAAUUCCCUUGGGCGCCGCUCGAUGAG